This 3198-nucleotide small RNA is filed under the name Pongo abelii (Sumatran orangutan). RNAcentral's name for it is "processed transcript". The record is from RNAcentral. Lineage: Eukaryota; Metazoa; Chordata; Mammalia; Primates; Hominidae.
GUUUUUGUCUUACGCCCUAGGGUGGGGAGAGGACUCCGGUGCCUUCGGGUCCGGGCUGGGCCGCAAAGGGCGGGGCCUGGGCCCGGCGCGGGCCGAGAGCAGAGGCCGAGACCCUGCAGGUGAUUCCUGGGGCUGCCAGCUAAGGUCCCUUAUGAUUUCUGCUCUGGCUUUGCAGUUUUCAGCCUUUCCCAAGAGCAGCAGAAAAUGAGCAAGUUCCAGAAGAAUCCAUUGCCAAACUCAAGGGACCCGUGACAUUAAAGGAUGUUAUUGUGGAAUUCACCAAGGAGGAAUGGAAGUUACUGACCCCUGCUCAGAGGACUCUGUAUAAGGAUGUGAUGCUGGAAAACUAUAGUCACCUGGUCUCAGUGGGUUACCAUGUGAAUAAGCCAAAUGCAGUCUUCAAGUUGAAGCAAGGAAAACAGCCAUGGAUAUUAGAAGUAGAAUUUCCACAUCGGGGCUUCCCUGAAGACCUAUGGAGCAUUCAUGAUCUAGAAGCAAGAUACCAGAAAAGCCAAGCUGGAAAUUCAAGGAAUGGAGAACUCACAAAACAUCAGAAAACUCGUACCACAGAGAAAGCCUGUGAAUGUAAGGAAUGUGGGAAGUUCUUCUGCCAGAAGUCUGCCCUCAUAGUACAUCAGCAUACUCACUCAAAGGGCAAAUCCUAUGACUGUGAUAAAUGUGGGAAAUCUUUCUCUAAAAAUGAAGACCUCAUAAGACACCAGAAAAUUCACACGAGAGAUAAAACCUAUGAGUGUAAAGAAUGUAAGAAAAUAUUUUACCACCUAUCAUCUCUCAGUAGACAUCUGAGAACCCAUGCAGGAGAGAAACCCUACGAAUGUAAUCAGUGUGAAAAAUCCUUCUACCAGAAACCACAUCUCAUAGAGCAUCAGAAAACACACACAGGGGAGAAACCUUUCGAAUGUACUGAAUGUGGGAAGUUCUUCUAUGUGAAGGCAUACCUCAUGGUACAUCAGAAAACACACACAGGGGAGAAACCCUAUGAAUGUAAGGAGUGUGGAAAAGCCUUUUCCCAGAAGUCACACCUCACAGUACAUCAGAGAACACACACAGGGGAGAAACCCUAUAAAUGUAAGGAAUGUGGGAAAUUUUUCUCUAGGAAUUCACACCUCAAAACUCAUCAGAGAACUCACACAGGAGAGAAACCCUAUGAAUGUAAGGAAUGUAGGAAAUGCUUCUACCAGAAGUCAGCCCUCACAGUACAUCAGCGAACUCACACAGGGGAGAAACCCUUUGAAUGUAAUAAAUGUGGGAAAACCUUUUACUAUAAAUCAGACCUCACUAAACAUCAGAGAAAACACACAGGGGAGAAGCCCUAUGAAUGCACAGAAUGUGGCAAAUCUUUCGCUGUGAAUUCAGUCCUCAGAUUACAUCAAAGGACUCACACAGGAGAGAAGCCCUAUGCAUGCAAGGAAUGUGGGAAGUCCUUCUCUCAGAAGUCACAUUUUAUUAUACAUCAGAGAAAACACACAGGGGAGAAGCCCUAUGAGUGUCAGGAGUGUGGGGAAACCUUUAUCCAGAAGUCACAACUCACUGCGCAUCAGAAGACACACACAAAGAAGAGGAAGGCUGAGAAGUAAGAUGAGUUGGGAAAUUCUCUUGACUGAAUUAGUCCUUCAAAACAAUCAGAUAAUUCACACAAGAGGUACACCUUUUGAAUCGCAUCAAUAGAGGGAAAUUUUCAGCUACAAUCUUUGCUCUCUCUGUGUAUCAGCAAAUACAUAGAUUCUGUACAUUUAUUUGGGAGAAAAUUUUAUCAUAUUGUAGGCUUUUCUAAAUAUUAGAUAAUAUAGAUGGCAGAAGUGAUGCAAAUUGUAAAACAGGAAGGAAACCUUUCAGAAGUCAUACUUUUGUUUUGCAACAUAGAAAUCACACAGGAGAAAAAUUCUGUAAGUAAAACGAAUGUCAAGACAUUUUUUGUCAGGGCAGCCAGCUGUAGACAUCCAAAAGCUCACGAGUGAGAAGCUCCUUGAGUAUCUAGAAAUCUCUUUACACAAUUGGAGCUCAUGUACUAGAGAAUUCAAAGGGAUAACUGCAAAGACAGUGGUAGAUAUAGAAGCCUUUAUUAAGAAUUGGUGUUUCAUUCAAUGUCAGAUCACUGGUACUUGGAUAGAUAUUUUAAAUAUUUGGAAGGUGUUCAAUAAAAAUUCAAAUAAUUUGUACUGAGGGAAACAGUUAUACUAGAAAUCAUGUUGCAGAUCUGAUGCCAAGAUUGUUCUAUUUUAAAAGGAAGUCUGCAAAUGUCUACAUAUAUGAAGCUUUUAAAAAGCACAAAUUAUGAGGCAACAUCAUUAAACAUACAUUAUAUAUAUGUUAGUAUUAUAUAUACUAUAUAUAUACACACACACACAUAUAUAUGUUAGUAUAUAGGAUUUUGUGUGUAUGUGAGUGUGCUAUAACAUGUAACUUGCGGAUGUUCAGUGUGCAUGUGGAAUCCAUCCAUAAUGGUACAUAGUGAAAUAAUAUAAUCUUAGUUCAGUAACUAUUAUGUCUAUGAAGAUGUUGCACAUUAAGUCUCAGUAGUGACUCUUGUUGUUAAUAUUUGUGUUGUAAGUGCAAUAUUCCUUUUAAAUUAUAAGGCAUCUUUUUAUCCUUUUUCUGUGUAUUUGUAAAUGGAUAUAGACAGUGGUACUAAACUAAUCCUUCAAAAACAAGUUAAAAUGUUUUUGUAAAAUUUUCAAAUGUCAGCUAAGUUUUGCAUUAGGGACACAUAUAUAGCAAAAGCCUGAGCUGUUUUUAAACAGCUAAAAACAGUAAUAUUUAUUAAAAUCUGCACAAUGAAAACAAAUAGUGCAAUGUAAGAAAUAUUAUGUAUUUCACUGUUGAUGUGUGAGCAGGGAGCAGAGCUAUCUGCAUUUGUAUUUUGUGUGAGAGUCCUAAAUGUUCUUCACCAACUUUUUCUUCCUCAUAGAAGCAACAUGACAUAGUUAAGGGUGUGGACUCUGGGCUCCUGCUGCCUGGGCCCCGAUUCCAGCAUGGGGCAUGCUACUUAAUAUCUCUGUGCCUCAGUUCCCAUCCCAUAAAAGAGUAGUGAUAGUGACAACAUCUUAGGAUUGCUUUGAGGUCUAAAUGAGUUAACAUUUUCAAAGCACUUAGAAUAGUGUCUGAGACACAAGAGCUAUAUGUUAGAGGUUAUCAUCAUUAUUUGUAUUUUGUGAAUUACGCUGCAAGGAAAAAAAA